AUACGGAGGGUGCAAGCGUUAUUCGGAAUCACUGGGCGUAAAGGACGCGUAGGCGGGUUGGCAAGUCAGAUGUGAAAUCCUACAGCUUAACUGUAGAACUGCAUUUGAAACUGCUAACCUAGAGUAUAGGAGGGGGAGAUGGAAUUAGUGGUGUAGGGGUAAAAUCCGUAGAUAUCACUAGGAAUACCGAAAGCGAAGGCGAUCUCCUGGAACAUAACUGACGCUAAGGCGUGAAAGCGUGGGGAGCAAACAGGAUUAGAUACCCCAGUAGUCC
Molecule: ribosomal RNA, 274 nt
Filed under: uncultured bacterium
Lineage: Bacteria
Description: partial 16S ribosomal RNA
Rfam family: Bacterial small subunit ribosomal RNA
Source: RNAcentral